RNAcentral lists this ribosomal RNA (468 nucleotides) under uncultured bacterium. Its description in RNAcentral is "partial 16S ribosomal RNA". It matches the Rfam family "Bacterial small subunit ribosomal RNA", at positions 28 to 507 of the family's 1533-position model. The record is from RNAcentral.
GACGAACGCUGGCGGCGUGCUUAACACAUGCAAGUCGAACGGAAAGGCCCUGCUUUUGUGGGGUGCUCGAGUGGCGAACGGGUGAGUAACACGUGAGUAACCUGCCCUUGACUUUGGGAUAACUUCAGGAAACUGGGGCUAAUACCGGAUAGGAGCUCCUGCUGCAUGUUGGGGGUUGGAAAGUUUCGGCGGUUGGGGAUGGACUCGCGGCUUAUCAGCUUGUUGGUGGGGUAGUGGCUUACCAAGGCUUUGACGGGUAGCCGGCCUGAGAGGGUGACCGGCCACAUUGGGACUGAGAUACGGCGCAGACUCCUACGGGAGGCAGCAGUGGGGAAUAGUGCACAAUGGGCGGAAGCCUGAUGCAGCAACGCCGCGUGCGGGAUGACGGCCUUCGGGUUGUAAACCGCUUUCGCCUGUGACGAAGCGUGAGUGACGGUAAUGGGUAAAGAAGCACCGGCUAACUAUGUG